GGAGGGGCUAUAGCUCAGUGGUAGAGGAUCUGCCUUGCUUGAAGAAGUUCCCAUGUUCAAAUCCCUGGCCUCUCCA
This is a non-coding RNA of Podarcis lilfordi (Lilford's wall lizard), 76 nucleotides long. The record is from the annotation of a GenBank genome assembly. NCBI's taxonomy places the organism in Eukaryota, Metazoa, Chordata, Lepidosauria, Squamata, Lacertidae.